CUACCCUUGACAUGUACGGAACCCUGCUGAGAGGUGGGGGUGCCCGAAAGGGAGCCGUAACACAGGUGCUGCAUGGCUGUCGUCAGCUCGUGUCGUGAGAUGUUGGGUUAAGUCCCGCAACGAGCGCAACCCUUGUCCCUAGUUGCUACGCAAGAGCACUCCAGGGAGACUGCCGGUGACAAACCGGAGGAGGGUGGGGAUGACGUCAAGUCAUCAUGCCCCUUAUGUCCAGGGCUACAAGCGUGCUACAAUGGCCGGUACAAAGGGCUGCGAAACCGCGAGGUGGAGCGAAUCCCAAAAAGCCGGUCCCAGUUCGGAUUGAAGGCUGAAACUCGCCUUCAUGAAGUCGGAGUUGCUAGUAAUCGCGGAUCAGCAACGCCGCGGUGAAUACGUUCCC
This 397-nucleotide ribosomal RNA is filed under the name uncultured Ktedonobacteria bacterium. RNAcentral describes it as "bacterial SSU rRNA". It matches the Rfam family "Bacterial small subunit ribosomal RNA", at positions 975 to 1375 of the family's 1533-position model. Lineage: Bacteria; Bacillati; Chloroflexota; Ktedonobacteria. The record is from RNAcentral.